RNAcentral lists this ribosomal RNA (418 nucleotides) under uncultured bacterium. RNAcentral describes it as "bacterial SSU rRNA". It matches the Rfam family "Bacterial small subunit ribosomal RNA", at positions 384 to 793 of the family's 1533-position model. The record is from RNAcentral.
UGAUGCAGCCAUGCCGCGUGUAUGAAGAAGGCCUUCGGGUUGUAAAGUACUUUCAGCAGUGAGGAAGGUGGGUAUGUUAAUAGCAUAUUCAUUUGACGUUAGCUGCAGAAGAAGCACCGGCUAACUCCGUGCCAGCAGCCGCGGUAAUACGGAGGGUGCGAGCGUUAAUCGGAAUUACUGGGCGUAAAGCGCAUGCAGGUGGUUUGUUAAGUCAGAUGUGAAAGCCCGGGGCUCAACCUCGGAAUUGCAUUUGAAACUGGCAAACUAGAGUACUGUAGGAGGGGGUAGGAAUUUCAGGUGUAGCGGUGAAAUGCGUAGAGAUCUGAAGGAAUACCGGUGGCGAAGGCGGCCCCCUGGACAGAUACUGACACUCAGAUGCGAAAGCGUGGGGAGCAAACAGGAUUAGAUACCCUGGUAG